UUACGGCCACAUCACAUUGAAACGCCGGUUCCGGUACGAUCAUUGAAGUUAAGCAAAGCCGAGCCUGAUUAGUACCUAGAUGGGUAACCGCUUGAAAAUACCAUGUGUU
This is a non-coding RNA of Acanthosepion pharaonis, 109 nucleotides long. Lineage: Eukaryota; Metazoa; Mollusca; Cephalopoda; Sepiida; Sepiidae. The record is from the annotation of a GenBank genome assembly.